AAAAGCCUACCAAGGCGACGAUCGGUAGCUGGUCUGAGAGGAUGAUCAGCCACAAUGGGAUGAGACACGGCCCAUACUCUACGGGAGGCAGCAGUGGGGAAUUUUACGCAAUGGGCGAAAGCCUGACGUAGCGACACCGCGUGAACGAAGAAGCCUCUUGGGGUGUAAAGUUCUGUCAGCUGGAACGAAAAAAAUGACGGUACCAGCAGAGGAAGCAUCGGCUAACUACGUGCCAGCAGCCGCGGUAAGACGUAGGAUGCAAGCGUUGUCCGGAUUUAUUGGGCGUAAAGAGUUCGUAGGUGGUUUGUUAAGUUUGGUGUUAAAGAUUGGGGCUCAACCCUGAAACUGCACUGAAUACUGGCAGACUCGAGUGUGGUAGAGGCUAGUGGAAUUCCCAGUGUAGCGGUGAAAUGCGUAGAUAUUGGGAAGAACACCGGUGGCGUAGGCGACUAGCUGGGCCAUAACUGACACUGAGGAACGAAAGCCAGGGUAGCGAAUGGGAUUAGAUACCCC
Molecule: ribosomal RNA, 513 nt
Filed under: uncultured bacterium
Lineage: Bacteria
Description: bacterial SSU rRNA
Rfam family: Bacterial small subunit ribosomal RNA
Source: RNAcentral